AUGGAAGGUGAUGGAGGACUUAUGCCACCGCCUUCAACUGUUCCUAAACAGAAAUUGGAUAAACCAAAGAAAUUGGAAACACCUCUAGCGGCUAUGCUGCCUUCUAAAUAUGCUAAUGUGGAUGUAACAGAACUUUUCCCGGAUUUUCGGCCUGACAAGGUAUUAUUAUUUUCCCGGUUAUUUGGUCCUGGUAAAUUGUCAAGCCUGCCACAAAUAUGGCGUGG
Long non-coding RNA from Papilio polytes (common Mormon), 224 nucleotides. RefSeq lists it as uncharacterized. Lineage: Eukaryota; Metazoa; Arthropoda; Insecta; Lepidoptera; Papilionidae. The record is from RefSeq and is a predicted model, not a curated record. The transcript has 3 exons.